AGGCUUAAGGAGUUAGGGUUGGGGUCCUCCAAAUACAACCUCAGUGCUGGGAGAUGGAGUUGGAGAGCUUACGAGGAGGAGGAGGAGGAGUAGAAGGAGAAGGAGGAAGGUGGCUGCUGCUGCGGGGUCUCCCCACCUGAGCAAGGUAGAGAUGGAGAAAGAGAAGAUGCCUGCAAAGAAGGUGUGACUCAGCCAGAGUAUCUUGCUCUCGAGAUGCCCAGGGCCAAGCUGCAUCCCUCCAGUGCUGCCCAUCGGUGCUCUCAGCUGCACAUCAGCCUCCUUCAGCACAGAUAGACUGCUGCCUUGCAGUGCAGACCCAGAACAUCCUUCUAGCACAGCACAAAGAUGAUUUUCUUGGACAUGACAGGGCCAGUGGCAGUCAGGGUUGGGGACAGGUGAGCCAUGGUGGGUGGCAAGGGCUAGAGCCCUCAGAAACCUUCACAUCAAAAAACAUGAUGUUUGUGGGAACCCUGAGCGCGAGCAUCCACACAGACAUGGGAAGGGGAGCUCCUGAGCAGGUGCUUAAUUUUCUGCCACUGUUGAGAAUGGAAGAGAGAAUAAGUAAUGUACAUCUUUCAUUUGUGUCAAGAGCUGAAAAACUACCAGUGAGUGAACACAUCAACGGGACAGCAUUGCCCAUUCAUGGAUGCUGAACAUCAUACCCUGAAAUAUACUAAGUGACCCAAAUACAACUACGUGGAGAAACACCAGCAGAGAUCCUGCUCCACUCUGAUUUUUCUCCUCUGCAGUUUUUGAUGCUGUGCUUUUUUAAAAUCAUGCUCCCCUGAGUAAUGACCUGUGGGCAGCAGGUGCAGUGCAGCCUCCCAGGGAAUUACUACAGUGGGUGAGGAAAGGGUUUCUCCAAGCUAGCAGCUUCCCCUCCAGUUUUCCAUUGGCCAUCCCCACCACAUGUGCCCGCAUGGAGCAGAUCCCUGCCAGGCUGGAAGCAAGAGAAGCAAACCUUAAGACGGUGCUGGUGGCGAGGCUAGGAGAGCUGGCUGCAGCAUACACGGGCAGCUGAGCAGGGGAACAAUGGGCAGCCCCAGCUCACCUCCUGCCACCUGCCAC
This 1068-nucleotide long non-coding RNA is filed under the name Anas platyrhynchos platyrhynchos (common mallard). RNAcentral describes it as "lncRNA (ENSAPLG00000022106.1)". The record is from RNAcentral. Lineage: Eukaryota; Metazoa; Chordata; Aves; Anseriformes; Anatidae.